Molecule: ribosomal RNA, 345 nt
Filed under: uncultured archaeon
Lineage: Archaea
Description: bacterial SSU rRNA
Rfam family: Archaeal small subunit ribosomal RNA
Source: RNAcentral
CCGACGGUGAGAGAUGAAGCCCUGGGGCGCAAACGGGAUUAGAUACCCCGGUAGUCCAGGGUGUAAACGCUGCGGGCUUGGUGUUGGGGGUCCUUAGUGGGCGCCCAGUGCCGGAGAGAAGUUGUUAAGCCUGCUGCUUGGGGAGUAUGUCCGCAAGGAUGAAACUUAAAGGAAUUGGCGGGGGAGCACCGCAACGGGAGGAGCGUGCGGUUCAAUUGGAUUCAACGCCGAAAAACUCACCAGGAGCGACGGAUAUAUGAAGGUCAAGCUGAUGACUUUACCUGAUUUUCCGAGAGGUGGUGCAUGGCCGUCGUCAGUUCGUACCGUAAGGCGUUCUCUUAAGUG